Non-coding RNA from Acanthosepion pharaonis, 93 nucleotides. The record is from the annotation of a GenBank genome assembly. Lineage: Eukaryota; Metazoa; Mollusca; Cephalopoda; Sepiida; Sepiidae.
AACAGCAGUUCUAGCACGAUCACCGAAGUUAAGUAACGUCGAGCUUGGUCAGUACCUAGAUGAGUGACCGCUUGGGAAUACUAGAUGCUGCAA